UUUGUUGUGUUUUUUUUUUUUGAAGUCGUGUUUUUUUUUUGUUUUUUUUUGGCUUCUUCUUUUCGUUUUUCAGACAGAGAUCCAUAUGUAAACACUGAAAAACGUAAAGAAAAGAAAAGA
RNAcentral lists this non-coding RNA (120 nucleotides) under Gloeochaete wittrockiana. Lineage: Eukaryota; Glaucocystophyceae; Gloeochaetales; Gloeochaetaceae. The record is from RNAcentral.